UUCGAUUAAGCCAUGCGAGUCGAGAGUCUUAGGGACUCGGCGUACCGCUCAGUAACACGUGGGUAACCUGCCCUAUGCUGGGGAAUAACCUCGGGAAACUGAGAAUAAUGCCCCAUAGUCCACCAUGCCUGGAACGGUUGGUGGAUCAAAGCUCCGGCGGCAUAGGAUGGGCCUGCGGCGUAUCAGGUUGUAGGGGGUGUAAUGUACCCUCUAGCCAUCAACGCGUACGGGUGUUGGGAGACAUAGCCCGGAGAUGGAUUCUGAGACACGAAUCCAGACCCUACGGGGUGCAGCAGGCGCGAAAACUCGGCAAUGCGAGCAAUCGUGACCAGGGAACUCCAAGUGGCUGGGGUAAGACCCAGUCUUUUCUUGACUCUUCAAAGGUCUUGGAAUAAGGGGUGGGUAAGGACGGUGCCAGCCGCCGCGGUAAUACCGGCGCCUCAAGUGGUAGUCGAUUUUAUUGGGCCUAAAACGUCCGUAGCCUGUUUGGUACAUUCGUGGGUAAAUCAACCAGCUCAACUGAUUGAAUUCUGCGAGCACGGCCAGACUUGGGACCGGGAGGGGUGUGGGGUACGCUCAGGGUAGGGGUAAAAUCCUGUCAUCCUGAGCGGACCACCUGUUGCGAAGGCGCCACACUAGAACGGAUCCGACGGUCAGGGACGAAGCCUAGGGGCACGAACCGGAUUAGAUACCCGGGUAGUCCUAGGUGUAAACGCUGUGGACUUGGUGUUGGGGAUUCUCCGAGGAUUCUCAGUGCCGAAGCGAAGGUGAUAAGUCCACUGCCUGGGGAGUACGGUCGCAAGGCUGAAACUUAAAGGAAUUGGCGGGGGAGCACCGCAACCUGAGGAUUGUGCG
RNAcentral lists this ribosomal RNA (855 nucleotides) under uncultured archaeon. Its description in RNAcentral is "bacterial SSU rRNA". It matches the Rfam family "Archaeal small subunit ribosomal RNA", at positions 39 to 899 of the family's 1478-position model. The record is from RNAcentral.